Long non-coding RNA from Sander lucioperca (pikeperch), 330 nucleotides. RefSeq lists it as uncharacterized. Lineage: Eukaryota; Metazoa; Chordata; Actinopteri; Perciformes; Percidae. The transcript has 3 exons. The record is from RefSeq and is a predicted model, not a curated record.
UGUCUCUUUAAUUUGAGCAGGACACAUUAUAAUAGGCUGCCUUUAUCCCUAUCUUAGCGAAUUGCAUAGUCAGCUAUCAACAUUAUGAAAAUGAUCGUGCCAUUUAGUACUGUCAAACUUAACGUGUUUAAUAAUUUCUGUUAGGUUAAUUUAAAACAUUAAACACAUUAGAAAUUAAUCGUGGGUUGACCGCGAUUUCACUUCGUUGUAUAUGAGAGGUUGUAGUGAGCUCACUUUUGCUGCUAGGAUGAAGACUAUGGUAUUGAAUUAAACGGGAAAACAUCAGGCAUGCGUACCACUCUAAACGUGCUAACAAAUAGGGAAGGGGGC